CCAUCCCGGCUUCGACGCUGGAGCCGGCUAAUUACCGGGCUUUCCUGAGGUUGCCUACUGAUGUGAAACCACACAGAGGUGCGAUGUCCGUGUUGUCUCCCUCAUCUUCUCUAGCCUGCAAGCAUGUAAAUGACUGCUGAUACUGGAGAGCCUGAUUACUCACCUCCCUAUUCCCCUAUCGAAGACCAGUCGCUGACCUGAAACAAAGUCCUGCCUGUGUCGUGCUGAGAAAUCCGGCAAUCUGACUAAGAGGCUCGUGGUAAGGCGGCUGUGUAUCAGCUACUUCAUUAUUCAUAAGCCUGCUUGUCACA
This 311-nucleotide long non-coding RNA is filed under the name Anas platyrhynchos (mallard). RNAcentral's name for it is "lncRNA (ENSAPLG00020010130.1)". Lineage: Eukaryota; Metazoa; Chordata; Aves; Anseriformes; Anatidae. The record is from RNAcentral.